Molecule: ribosomal RNA, 530 nt
Filed under: uncultured bacterium
Lineage: Bacteria
Description: bacterial LSU rRNA
Rfam family: Bacterial large subunit ribosomal RNA
Source: RNAcentral
UGGCACCAAGAGCCGAUGAAGGACGUUGUAACCUGCGAUAAGCCCUGGGGGAGCUGGUAAAACGAGCUUUGAUCCUGGGAUCUCCGAAUAGGGAAACCUCGAAUUUCCGGAGUCAUGUCCGGCGACCUCUGCCUGAAUGUAUAGGGCAGUUGGAGGGAACGUGGGGAAGUGAAACAUCUCAGUACCCACAGGAAGAGAAAACAAUAGUGAUUCCGUAAGUAGUGGCGAGUCGAACGCGGAACAGGCCAAACCAUGUGUGUGUGAUAGCUGACAGGCGUUGCACAUGUGGUGUUGUGGGGCCGCCUGGGUUGGGCUGUUGACCAGCCGGGGAGUCAUAAAUGGUUGAUGAAGUUGAAGUGUCUGGAAAGACAUAGCGUAGAGGGGUAAUACUCCUGUAGACGUAAGUUGACCACUCCCUUGGCGUGUCCCCAAGUAGUACGGGACCCCUGAAAUCUCGUGUGAAUCUGGCGGGACCAUCCGCUAAGCCUAAAUACUCCUUGGUGACCGGAUAGUGAAUAAGUACCGUGAGG